UUAUCCUCAUAAGUUUGACAAUAAGAGAAACCAUAUAAAAUUUAAAUUAGCCAUAAUUUAAAUAGUUAUAUAGUAUAAUAAAAUCGGAGGCCACGACUGUUUACUAAAAACACAAUUCAGAGCAAUGAUUAAGAUAAUAGUAUUCUGAAUGAAAUUUGCCCAAUGCCAUUAAUAUAAGAAAAGUAAUUUUAAAGUUACUAAUCGAAAAUCUGGUUAAUAGCGGUCUUAACUAUGAGGAUCCUAAGGUAGCAAAAUAAAUUGGCCAUUAAAUGUGGUCUUGUAUCAAUAAUGUAACGAUGGUCUCACUGUCUCUACAACUUGCUCAGUGAAAUUGAAUUGCGAGUGCAGAUGCUCGCUGUCUUCAG
This 365-nucleotide ribosomal RNA is filed under the name Russula aff. pectinatoides C1in. RNAcentral's name for it is "LSU rRNA". It matches the Rfam family "Bacterial large subunit ribosomal RNA", at positions 1722 to 2075 of the family's 2925-position model. Lineage: Eukaryota; Fungi; Basidiomycota; Agaricomycetes; Russulales; Russulaceae. The record is from RNAcentral.